Diabrotica virgifera virgifera (western corn rootworm) is the source of this 1509-nucleotide long non-coding RNA. RefSeq lists it as uncharacterized. NCBI's taxonomy places the organism in Eukaryota, Metazoa, Arthropoda, Insecta, Coleoptera, Chrysomelidae. The transcript has 2 exons. The record is from RefSeq and is a predicted model, not a curated record.
UAAGAUUUAUAACAUUAACAGCUAGAGGGUUCUUAUCAAGAUUAGAGAAAUAUUUUGUUGGUACAAAAUUAUUAAUUUGAACAUAAUGAUCUUCAUCCGUUCUCGGUACAAAUUUAAUACAGGUGUAGUGUCUGAAAUGAUCCAUUGCCAUAUCGAUCAUAUUAAGCUGGCGGGCUGUAAAAUAUCCGUUUAUUAUGUAUGGUAUUCUUCCGUCUGUCCAUAGAUACAUAGGAUUUCUCAAACCAUUUUUGAAAACAUGGCUAUUCUGACUUCGUUGACUGCUGCCCUGAAAAGUCCGGUAGUGGUUAAGUUAAACCAUUAUCGCAGAUUAUGCAGCCAGGAUAUUCUUCCUCGUCCUGGACCUCUUUUCCCAUGAACUUUAACUUGAAGUAUGGUCCGAAGUAGGUAAUAUCGUUGUUCAUUGCGCAUUACAUGGCCCAGGUAUUCCAGUUUGCGACGUUUUAUGGUUACGACUAGUUCGCGCUCUUUACCCAUUCUAUGUAGAACUUCUUCGUUGGUAACUCUGUCUAUCCAGGAAAUCCUCAACAUGCGUCUAUAGCACCACAUCUCAAAUGCUUCGAGUCUCUUCAGUGAUGCUUCGGUUAAGGUCCAUGACUCCACGCCAUAUAAAAGAACGUAGAAUACGUAGCAUUUUAGUAAACGAACUUUUAUUUCCAAUUUUAUAUCGUGGCUGUUAAAUAUUUUUUUUAUUUUAACGAAAGCUGAUCUUGCCUUCCCGAUCCUUAUCUUAAUUUAGUUUGCACCCAAAUAACAAAAGUUUUUACUUUAUUCUUUGGUGAGUAUACAUAUUCAUUUCUUAGACAGUUGGGCAAAGGUUUACUCAAACUUCUUUUUGAAACUUAUACCAGGAGGAAAAAAAAUAAUGUUUAUCUUAUGUUAAAUUUGCAACAUCCUGUAGGCAGGAUGAGAUAAAAGUGUGGAUAAUAGUAUACAUUGAAAUGGUAUUGGAGUCUUGGUGUUUUGUAAACAUUCUGUUUUUGAAUGGCUGAUAUCUUUAGAAACAAAGAAAAUAUACGCUUUUAUUCUUUAACAUGACAUGUUUUAACUGAAAGAAAACUAAAUUAACAAUAAAAAACCAGUUAACAAUUCUUUAAAAACGGAAAGGCAUAUAUCGUUAACAAUUCUGGUCGACACCAUAAGAGUUAUUUGUCGAACAAGUGAGCAAGAUGUACAGCGCAACAUAAUAGAGACUAGAUUGUUUAAUGGAGGCUCUGUGAUGUUUAGGAGUGGAAUUUACUUAAGAGUAAGUACGGAUUUGGUGUCUACGUGGAGUCUAUUUAAAUAGAGAGUGGUACAUUGCGCAGAUUUUCUCUCUCUGAACAAUUUGUUUCUUUCACACUAUAAUAUAUGAAAAUAAGAUCAUCUUAGUCUUUAAUACGACAUGGAAUCUUCACGUAUCACAUGUCGUCAGUUAAAACACGUAAUAUACAGUUAAACCGUCUAGGUUCUUUAUUAUUAAAGAAAUCACACAAACAAAAAAAAAUAAAA